AAGUCGUAACAAGGUUUCCGUAGGGUACGUGCUCUCCCUGUCCUACGUCUUGUGAUUCAAUGCUAACGUGAUUAUAGUGAACCUGCGGAAGGAUCAUUAAUGAGUAAGGGUCUCGACUUAUACAGAGCCCGACCUCCAACCCUUUGUCUACCUUACCAAAUGUCGCUUCGGCGAGCCCCGCUUUCGAAAGAGGCCGCCGGAGGGUCGUUAAAACACUCUCUGGUCAGUGCCCGCCGGUGGCCCCAAUCAAAACUCUUGUUAAGAACUUGUCUAAGUAUAACAACAAAUAAGUAAAAA
This 297-nucleotide unclassified non-coding RNA is filed under the name plant metagenome. RNAcentral describes it as "partial contains small subunit ribosomal RNA and internal transcribed spacer 1". The record is from RNAcentral.